This 484-nucleotide ribosomal RNA is filed under the name uncultured bacterium. Its description in RNAcentral is "partial 16S ribosomal RNA". It matches the Rfam family "Bacterial small subunit ribosomal RNA", at positions 28 to 523 of the family's 1533-position model. The record is from RNAcentral.
GACGAACGCUGGCGGCGUGCUUAACACAUGCAAGUCGAACGAUGAAGCCGGAGCUUGCUCUGGUGAAUUAGUGGCGAACGGGUGAGUAACACGUGAGUAACCUGCCCUUGACUCUGGAAUAACUGAGGGAAACUGUAGCUAACAUCGGAUACGACCCUCGGAGGCAUUUCCUGGGGGUGGAAAGAAUUUCGGUCAAGGAUGGACUUGCGGCCUAUCAGCUAGUUGGUGAGGUAACGGCUCACCAAGGCGACGGAGGGUAGCCGGCCCGAGAGGGUGACCGGCCACACUGGGACUGAGACACGGCCCAGACUCCUACGGGAGGCAGCAGUGGGGAAUAUUGCACAAUGGGCGCAAGCCUGAUGCAGCAACGCCGCGUGAGGGAUGACGGCCUUCGGGUUGUAAACCUCUUUUAGCAGGGAAGAAGCGAAAGUGACGAUACCUGCAGAAAAAGCACCGGCUAACUACGUGCCAACAGCCGCCGCUG